GGGCCCGCACAAGCAGUGGAGUAUGUGGUUUAAUUCGAAGCAACGCGAAGAACCUUACCAGGGCUUGACAUACCUCUGACCGCCUUAGAGAUAAGGCUUCCCUUCGGGGCAGAGGAUACAGGUGGUGCAUGGUUGUCGUCAGCUCGUGUCGUGAGAUGUUGGGUUAAGUCCCGCAACGAGCGCAACCCUUGUCGUUAGUUGCCAUCAUUCAGUUGGGCACUCUAGCGAAACUGCCGGUGACAAAUCGGAGGAAGGUGGGGACGACGUCAAAUCAUCAUGCCCCUUAUGUCCUGGGCUACACACGUACUACAAUGGCCGUUAACAACAGGAAGCGAAGCCGCGAGGUGGAGCAAAUCCCCAAAAACGGUCUCAGUUCGGAUUGCAGGCUGAAACUCGCCUGUAUGAAGUCGGAAUUGCUAGUAAUCGCGAAUCAGCAUGUCG
Molecule: ribosomal RNA, 441 nt
Filed under: uncultured Bacillota bacterium
Lineage: Bacteria; Bacillati; Bacillota
Description: bacterial SSU rRNA
Rfam family: Bacterial small subunit ribosomal RNA
Source: RNAcentral